This 438-nucleotide ribosomal RNA is filed under the name uncultured bacterium. Its description in RNAcentral is "partial 16S ribosomal RNA". It matches the Rfam family "Bacterial small subunit ribosomal RNA", at positions 339 to 795 of the family's 1533-position model. The record is from RNAcentral.
CUACGGGCGGCUCCAGUGGGGAAUAUUGCACAAUGGGCGAAAGCCUGAUGCAGCAACGCCGCGUGAGCGAUGAAGGCCUUCGGGUCGUAAAGCUCUGUCCUCAAGGAAGAUAAUGACGGUACUUGAGGAGGAAGCCCCGGCUAACUACGUGUCAGCAGCCGCGGUAAUAGGUAGGGGGCUAGCGUUAUCCGGAUUUACUGGGCGUAAAGGGUGCGUAGGCGGUCUUUCAAGUCAGGAGUGAAAGGCUACGGCUCAACCGUAGUAAGCUCUUGAAACUGGGAGACUUGAGUGCAGGAGAGGAGAGUGGAAUUCCUAGUGUAGCGGUGAAAUGCGUAGAUAUUAGGAGGAACACCAGUAGCGAAGGCGGCUCUCUGGACUGUAACUGACGCUGAGGCACGAAAGCGUGGGGAGCAAACAGGAUUAGAUACCCUGGUAGUC